GUGCAAACUUGAUCACUAACUUACAUGGUGAUGCGGAAGUGAAGGGAACCAGGCUGGCUAAAGUGAUUGUGGUGACAGAAGUGUAUUAGCUUCAGGAGCUACUGAGAUGGUCCAUUCUAUGCCAGUACAGUA
Small nucleolar RNA from Phyllostomus hastatus (greater spear-nosed bat), 132 nucleotides. Lineage: Eukaryota; Metazoa; Chordata; Mammalia; Chiroptera; Phyllostomidae. The record is from RefSeq and is a predicted model, not a curated record.